CAAAGGUAGCAUAAUCACUUGCCUAUUAAUUGUAGGCUAGAAUGAAGGGGUUAACGAAAUAAAAGCUGUCUCAAUUAGUUACCUAAAAAUUAUUCUCUAUUCGAAGAAAAAUAGAUACACUCGAAGGACAAGAAGACCCUAUAGAGCUUUAUUUAUAUUAUAGAGUCUACUAUAAAACAAUUCGGUUGGGGCGACCCAGGGCUAAACAAUCACCCACAACACAAAAGAUACUUUAAUCUAAUAAAUGACCCUUUUAAGAUCACAAGACCAAGCUACCUUAGGGAUAACAGGCUAAUCCCAUUCAAGAGUCCUUAUCAACAAUGGGGAUUGGCACCUCGAUGUUGGCUUAGGGUAUCUAUAUAGCGCAAAAGUU
This 373-nucleotide ribosomal RNA is filed under the name Pheretima apoensis. RNAcentral's name for it is "partial 16S rRNA". It matches the Rfam family "Bacterial large subunit ribosomal RNA", at positions 1951 to 2563 of the family's 2925-position model. The record is from RNAcentral. Lineage: Eukaryota; Metazoa; Annelida; Clitellata; Crassiclitellata; Megascolecidae.